Molecule: transfer RNA, 69 nt
Filed under: Phycisphaerales bacterium
Lineage: Bacteria; Pseudomonadati; Planctomycetota; Phycisphaerae; Phycisphaerales
Description: tRNA-OTHER
Rfam family: tRNA
About the family: Transfer RNA (tRNA) molecules are approximately 80 nucleotides in length. Their secondary structure includes four short double-helical elements and three loops (D, anti-codon, and T loops). Further hydrogen bonds mediate the characteristic L-shaped molecular structure. tRNAs have two regions of fundamental functional importance: the anti-codon, which is responsible for specific mRNA codon recognition, and the 3' end, to which the tRNAs corresponding amino acid is attached (by aminoacyl-tRNA synthetases). tRNAs cope with the degeneracy of the genetic code in two manners: having more than one tRNA (with a specific anti-codon) for a particular amino acid; and 'wobble' base-pairing, i.e. permitting non-standard base-pairing at the 3rd anti-codon position.
Source: RNAcentral
CGGAGAGUAGCUCAGUUUGGCCAGAGCGUCCCUUAGGGAAGGUCGCAAGUUCAAAUCUUGUCUCCCCGA